GUGGGGAAUUUUGGACAAUGGGCGCAAGCCUGAUCCAGCCAUGCCGCGUGCAGGAUGAAGGCCUUCGGGUUGUAAACUGCUUUUGUACGGAACGAAAAAGCUCUCUCUAAUACAGGGGGUGAAUGACGGUACCGUAAGAAUAAGCACCGGCUAACUACGUGCCAGCAGCCGCGGUAAUACGUAGGGUGCAAGCGUUAAUCGGAAUUACUGGGCGUAAAGCGUGCGCAGGCGGUUAUGUAAGACAGAGGUGAAAUCCCCGGGCUCAACCUGGGAACUGCCUUUGAGACUGCAUAGCUGGAGUGCGGCAGAGGGGGAUGGAAUUCCGCGUGUAGCAGUGAAAUGCGUAGAUAUGCGGAGGAACACCGAUGGCGAAGGCAAUCCCCUGGGCCUGCACUGACGCUCAUGCACGAAAGCGUGGGGAGCAAACAGGAUUAGAUACCCCAGUAGUCC
RNAcentral lists this ribosomal RNA (450 nucleotides) under uncultured bacterium. RNAcentral's name for it is "partial 16S ribosomal RNA". It matches the Rfam family "Bacterial small subunit ribosomal RNA", at positions 354 to 796 of the family's 1533-position model. The record is from RNAcentral.